AUACGGAGGGCGCAAGCGUUAUUCGGAAUCACUGGGCGUAAAGGACGCGUAGGCGGGUUGGCAAGUCAGAUGUGAAAUCCUACAGCUUAACUGUAGAACUGCAUUUGAAACUGCUAACCUAGAGUAUGGGAGGGGGAGAUGGAAUUAGUGGUGUAGGGGUAAAAUCCGUAGAUAUCACUAGGAAUACCGAAAGCGAAGGCGAUCUCCUGGAACAUAACUGACGCUAAGGCGUGAAAGCGUGGGGAGCAAACAGGAUUAGAAACCCUAGUAGUCC
RNAcentral lists this ribosomal RNA (274 nucleotides) under uncultured bacterium. RNAcentral describes it as "partial 16S ribosomal RNA". It matches the Rfam family "Bacterial small subunit ribosomal RNA", at positions 523 to 796 of the family's 1533-position model. The record is from RNAcentral.